RNAcentral lists this ribosomal RNA (260 nucleotides) under uncultured bacterium. RNAcentral describes it as "partial small subunit ribosomal RNA". It matches the Rfam family "Bacterial small subunit ribosomal RNA", at positions 26 to 286 of the family's 1533-position model. The record is from RNAcentral.
AGGACGAACGCUGGCGGCGUGCUUAACACAUGCAAGUCGAACGAGGCCCUACCUUCGGGUAGGUGACCUAGUGGCGAACGGGUGAGUAACACGUGGGCAACCUACCCUCAGCUCUGGGAUAACCCCGGGAAACCGGAGCUAAAUACCGGAUAUGACCUGGAACGACAUCGUUCUUGGUGGAAAGUUUUUCGGCUGAGGAUGGGCCCGCGGCCUAUCAGCUUGUUGGUGGGGUAAUGGCCUACCAAGGCGACGACGGGUAG